AGAAAUUGAAUCUGUCUUUGUUAAGGUUGUAGGUCUGACUUCAUUGAUCAAGGCUGGGAAAGGCUGAACUGGGUUGCCAAGAAUCACAGUUGAUGCAGAAACACCGAAAAUGUUGUGAGGCUGGCACUGCCUCUGGUCCUGAGCUCAGCUUUUGGGAAUACAGACAAAGUUGGAGACGACAAGUGAGAGAGGGCAUUACAUGUUAACCCCAAGAGAUAUACUGUCAGAUGCUUUUCCUCAGACAAUGUGAACCUGAUUGAAGCUGUGCCAUUUCUUUGGUGCUCCAGAGACAUCAGUGGCUACAACCUGCACCACCAUAGCCAUAAGGGAACCUGUGUUGACUGACUCCUAAUUUAGGGUCCUUUGGUUAGAUGAAAUGAACCUGAGCCCUCGACAGGAC
Molecule: long non-coding RNA, 400 nt
Organism: Pipra filicauda (Wire-tailed manakin)
Lineage: Eukaryota; Metazoa; Chordata; Aves; Passeriformes; Pipridae
Exons: 3
Source: RefSeq, a predicted model, not a curated record